UGCAGUCGAACGGUAACAGAACUAGCUUGCUAGUUGCUGACGAGUGGCGGACGGGUGAGUAAUACUUAGGGAUCUGCCUCUGUGUGGGGGAUAACUAUUGGAAACGAUAGCUAAUACCGCAUAACGUCUACGGACCAAAGAGGGCUUCGGCUCUCGCGCAGAGAGGAACCUAAGCGAGAUUAGCUUGUUGGUGAGGUAAAGGCUCACCAAGGCGACGAUCUCUAGCUGUUCUGAGAGGAAGAUCAGCCACACUGGAACUGAGACACGGUCCAGACUCCUACGGGAGGCAGCAGUGGGGAAUAUUGCACAAUGGGGGAAACCCUGAUGCAGCCAUGCCGCGUGUGUGAAGAAGGCCUUCGGGUUGUAAAGCACUUUCAGUUGUGAGGAAAGGUUAGUAGUUAAUACCUGCUAGCUGUGACGUUAACAACAGAAGAAGCACCGGCUAACUCCGUGCCAGCAGCCGCGGUAAUACGGAGGGUGCGAGCGUUAAUCGGAAUUACUGGGCGUAAAGCGCACGCAGGCGGUCUGUUAAGCUAGAUGUGAAAGCCCCGCGCUCAACGUGGGAGGGUCAUUUAGAACUGGCAGACUAGAGUCUUG
RNAcentral lists this ribosomal RNA (597 nucleotides) under uncultured bacterium. RNAcentral describes it as "bacterial SSU rRNA". It matches the Rfam family "Bacterial small subunit ribosomal RNA", at positions 56 to 651 of the family's 1533-position model. The record is from RNAcentral.